RNAcentral lists this ribosomal RNA (440 nucleotides) under uncultured bacterium. Its description in RNAcentral is "partial 16S ribosomal RNA". It matches the Rfam family "Bacterial small subunit ribosomal RNA", at positions 338 to 795 of the family's 1533-position model. The record is from RNAcentral.
ACUACGGGUGGCAGCAGUGGGGGAUAUUGCACAAUGGGGGAAACCCUGAUGCAGCGACGCCGCGUGGGGGAAGACGGUCUUCUGGAGUGUAAACCACUGUCCCCAGGGACGAAAAUGACGGGACCGGGGGAGGAAGCGCCGGCUAACUACGUGCCAGCAGCCGGGGUAAUACGGAGGGAGCAAGCGUUGUCCGGAAUUACUGGGUGGAAAGGGAGCGUAGGCGGGGAGGCAAGAUGGGUGUCAAAACGACCGGCUCAACCGAUAGUCGCACUCCAAACUGCAGCUCGUGAGUGAAGUAGAGGCAGGCGCUCUUCCUCGUGUAGCGGUGACAUGCGUCGAUAUUAGGCGGAACCCCGCUUGCGAAGGCAGCAUGCCGGCUUCCGACUGACGCUGACGCACGAAUGCGUGGGGAUCGAACAGGCUUAGCUACCCCGGUAGUC